GUGGAGAAGAAAAGAUUAGGAUACCAUUUAUACAUGUUAGUGAAAGCGAAUAAAUGAGUUAAAAUAGAAAAUAUCUAUUAAUAUCAGGUUUAAAUAACUUAUAAUUAUUUUAUCCUAAGACAUUAAGCAUGAGCCAUGUAAAAACUGAAACAAAAUUUUAUUUACAGCAGUAAAGAAAUUUAUACAAUUAACUAAGGUUAGAUAUAGAGUAAUCCUUUAAAUUUGUCUAAUUAAGUGCCAGCAGACGCGGUAAUACUUAAAAAUUAAAUCUUUUAUAAAAACAGAAUUAUAUGUAAAAAAUUAUAACAAAUAAAAUUAAGUACUUUAAUUAGGUAGAAUUAAUAAACUACUUAACUUUAUUUAUUACUUAAAAAUAUGAAAAUUCCACACACAAACAGGAUUAGAUACCCUGGUAGAAAAUUAUAAGAAAAAAUUUCUGAACAGUACAUCUCAAUGAUGAAAAUCAAAUAAUUUGGUUGUUUAUUUUCUCCUUAGAGGAGUAUGUAAUUUAAUUCGAUAAUCCGCGAAAAACCUUACCUUUUUUUGAAUUUACAGGUACUGCAUGGUUGUCUUCAGCUUAAAUUUAUAAUUAAAGCUUAACCCUAUCUAGGAUGAAGUCAAAUAUUAUGGUCCUUAUAAAAAGGGAUAUUAUGUACUACAAUUUAUAAAUUAAACUAAAUUUAUAAUUGAAUUAUUUAUGAAAAAUUUUAUGAAAUAGAAUUUAAUAGUAAUUAAAGAAAGAAAGCUUUAAUGAAUUAGUAAAAAUAUGAAUACAAAUAGCCCGUCGCCUUUACCAAUUAAAAUAAAUAAAAGGUAGAGUAAGUCGUAACAUAGUGGGGGGAAGGGAACUUCUCCCUGAAUAUUU
This 865-nucleotide ribosomal RNA is filed under the name Ectopleura larynx. RNAcentral's name for it is "partial small subunit ribosomal RNA". Lineage: Eukaryota; Metazoa; Cnidaria; Hydrozoa; Anthoathecata; Tubulariidae. The record is from RNAcentral.